CUCGGUUACUGGCUAAGGAUUUUCCUGUGGAGCGAGGUAUGAACAACAUUUCCUCCGAUGUCCACUUCCCUCUACCGUCAGCCUCCUCCCAGGGAGACAUCUGCAACCUGGCCAGGUCCUCCUGCAUUCCUUGGCUCAUGGGACCUUCUUUCAUCAUCGAAGUGCAUCACCCAAUCUGCUUCUGUCAUCACAUCACCGUCUCUUCUGACUCUGACUCCUUCUGCGUGUCUCAUAAAGAUCUUUGUGAUGACAUCCGGUCCACCCAGCCUCAUGAUGGUGUGACCUCGGGGAGGUGGAAGGCGGUGUGACCGGAAAGGGGCAGGCCGAGGAGCAGGUGUUUCAAAUCCUGGCGAGUUCAAUUUCUUCACCUGGGUGGCGGUUACGUGGG
This 388-nucleotide long non-coding RNA is filed under the name Equus caballus (horse). RNAcentral describes it as "lncRNA (ENSECAG00000045168.1)". The record is from RNAcentral. Lineage: Eukaryota; Metazoa; Chordata; Mammalia; Perissodactyla; Equidae.